GUGAAAAAAAAUAUUUUUACGAUUGUUGUUGCUGCU
This 36-nucleotide non-coding RNA is filed under the name Asterionellopsis glacialis. Lineage: Eukaryota; Bacillariophyta; Plagiogrammaphyceae; Rhaphoneidales; Asterionellopsidaceae. The record is from RNAcentral.